AGGGAAUAGAUACCCUGGUAGUCCAUGCUGUAAACGAUGGAUGCUAGCUGUGAUGCGUAUCGACCCGCGUCGUAGCGAAGCUAACGCGUUAAGCAUCCCGCCUGUGGAGUACGGCCGCAAGGCUAAAACAUAAAGGAAUUGACGGGGACCCGCACAAGCGGUGGAGCGUGUUGUUUAAUUCGAUGGUAAGCGAAGAACCUUACCCAGGUUUGACAUCCUUGGAAGUUCUGCGAAAGCAGAGUGUGCCUUCGGGAACCAAGUGACAGGUGAUGCAUGGCCGUCUUCAGCUCGUGUCGUGAGACGUUAGGUUAAGUCCUUCAACGAGCGCAACCCUUAUAGUUAGUUGUAUUUUCUAGCUAGACUGCCCUGGUAACAGGGAGGAAGGAGGGGACGAUGUCAGGUCAGUAUCUCCCUUAUAUCUGGGGCUACAAACACGCUACAAUGGCCGGUACGAAAGGGAA
This 461-nucleotide ribosomal RNA is filed under the name uncultured bacterium. RNAcentral's name for it is "bacterial SSU rRNA". It matches the Rfam family "Bacterial small subunit ribosomal RNA", at positions 773 to 1249 of the family's 1533-position model. The record is from RNAcentral.